RNAcentral lists this ribosomal RNA (484 nucleotides) under uncultured bacterium. RNAcentral's name for it is "partial 16S ribosomal RNA". It matches the Rfam family "Bacterial small subunit ribosomal RNA", at positions 30 to 507 of the family's 1533-position model. The record is from RNAcentral.
AUUGAACGCUGGCGGCAGGCCUAACACAUGCAAGUCGAGCGGAUGAAGGGAGCUUGCUCCUGGAUUCAGCGGCGGACGGGUGAGUAAUGCCUAGGAAUCUGCCUGGUAGUGGGGGAUAACGUCCGGAAACGGGCGCUAAUACCGCAUACGUCCUGAGGGAGAAAGUGGGGGAUCUUCGGACCUCACGCUAUCAGAUGAGCCUAGGUCGGAUUAGCUAGUUGGUGGGGUAAAGGCCUACCAAGGCGACGAUCCGUAACUGGUCUGAGAGGAUGAUCAGUCAAACUGGAACUGAGACACGGUCCAGACUCCUACGGGAGGCAGCAGUGGGGAAUAUUGGACAAUGGGCGAAAGCCUGAUCCAGCCAUGCCGCGUGUGUGAAGAAGGUCUUCGGAGUGUAAAGCACUUUAAGUUGGGAGGAAGGGCAGUAAGUUAAUACCUUGCUGUUUUGACGUUACCAACAGAAUAAGCACCGGCUAACUUCGUG